AUGGCGGCUGCGUCCAGGAAGGAGGAGGAGAGGAACGAGCGGAUCGUGAGGGGCCUCCUCAAGCUGCCGCCCAACCGCAGAUGCAUCAACUGCAACGCCAUCGGGCCGCAGUACGUCUGCACGAGCUUCUGGACAUUCAUCUGCAUCUCCUGCAGCGGCAUCCACCGUGAGUUCACGCACCGAGUAAAAUCGGUGUCUAUGUCCAAGUUCACCGUGCAAGAGGUUGAGGCCCUUCAAAAGGGUGGGAACCAGCGAGCCAGAGAAUUAUUGUUGAAGGAUUUCGAUACCCAGCAAAUGAGGGUACCUGAUAGCAGUAACACUGAAAGCCUUAGAGAAUUCAUAAAUGCUGUUUAUGUGGAGAGAAGAUAUGCUGGUGUAAGUUUGUCCGAAAGGCCUCCAAGAGAUAUACAGAUUCAGAAAUCCCAUGAAGAGGAACAUAGAAGGGCUAGUUCCUAUCAUUCAUUUUCUCAGAGCCCACCUAAUGACUACCAAUAUGAAGAAAGGCACAAUCGCAAGCAACCUGCAAUGCUAAGUAGGAAACCUAGUUCAGACCGAGGGCAUGAUGGGAAGAUGCCUGGAUUUUCUUAUCGUUCACAUAGCCUGCAAGAGAGAAUGUCCGAGGACCAAUUUGCAAAUGAGAGUCGUGGACCGACAACUUCUGACUGCUCAGGGUCAAGCAUGAGUGGUACCUUUGGAACAGCACCCAAAUCACCUGAUUUCUUCGAUGAUGGGUGUUUAAGCCCUCCUGUCCAACAAAAUCAAUCAAAUAUGCUGAGUUGUAAUGGCAUCACGCAAUCCCAGAGAACUGCAUCAACAGGGAACAUAGAUUCCACAUCGCUUAAGUCAGGCAACUCAAGCUUAGCUGAUUUGUUUUUUGAUUUUGAGAAUGUUCACCGAACUCAGCAAUCCAACAAUUCUGCAGCUCCAAGUUUUGUAGCCUUUUCUGCUGCUGUAAAUGGCACAAAGGAGGAUCUCUACAGUCAGCCAAAUUUGCAGCAACAACCUGUAACUGGCUAUCCAUCUGUAGAUUUAUUUGCAAAUAUGCCUCAUACAGCUUCAUCUGCUGAUAAAAUACCACUGGAAGCUCAUCCAUCUGUAGAUUUGUUUGCAAAUAUGCCUCAUACAGCUUCAUCUGCUGAUAAAAUGCCACUGGAAGCUCCAUCAAUGGGCAAUGCUGGGUGGGCUACAUUUGACACGCCCCCAAAGGAUAAACAGCCUGGAGUCACUGGUCCCUCUCCUGUAGCUGACGUAGGUAAUCAUAAACAGAUUCUGGGUCGUGAUUUGUUUUCGUUCGAAACAAGUGAUAGACCAACAUUGUUCCCGACUUCCAAGCACGAAGUUUCAAUCAGCAAUCAGUCUGGUGCUACAUCUCUUGAUACAAGUUGCUCUCAGUUAUGGCAUUCAUUUGAUGAUGCAACUGGGAUCAUCUCUAAUGAUCACUCUGGUGCUGAGCCACUAAGUAAUGAGCUCACAAAUGUAGUCAAUGUUACCAACAAUCCUUUUAGUUGCCCUAUUAGUUCAAAGAAAUCUCAUGGUGAUGAUUGCCAUAAUGUGUUCAUGGAUGAAUUAGCUCUAAGUGCAUCAUUUGCUCCUUUCCUAGAGCCAUCUCCAAUAUCUGAUGUUCCUUCGGGAAAACCCUUUGCUGAUCAGAUUGUGCUAAAUCCAUUUGAUCUCCCCUUUGGUACUGAUUCAGAGGCUACUAAUCUGUUCAUGGACAUGAGCACGCUGCAAGCUGCUUUGCCUAAUUUACCAAUUUCUUUUCUUGAUGGCUUGCCUGAAUCAUGGUUCUCCAACAAUACUUCUACCUAUGUUCCGUCUGGAUCACAUGGUGGACUAACAUGUCUUGUCGAGCAGGCCCCGAACUCUCCGUUGAGGAACAUAACAUUGAGCACUGUAUCUACUGGCAAUCCUUUUGCAUAG
This 1920-nucleotide ribosomal RNA is filed under the name Triticum aestivum (bread wheat). Its description in RNAcentral is "partial small subunit ribosomal RNA". The record is from RNAcentral. Lineage: Eukaryota; Viridiplantae; Streptophyta; Magnoliopsida; Poales; Poaceae.